UUCCUUGACAGCCUGCAGCAAUAAUAGAGCUCAUUUAUUUCAUGCAAUACUUAUUUAUUAUGCAAAUGAAAGAAGUUUUGUUUCGAUGAUUAUGGCAGUAUUAGAUUCUCUGUAAAGUGUAAACAUCAAAACAAAUCUUGAAGUAACAUAAUGAAUUGCAAAUCAGUAUAUUUAUGGCAGAAUUCUAAUUGGGAAGUAAAUCCUAAACAAAAACUUAAUAUCCUGUCUCAAAACGUUUUUUAAGAAUUCCCAUGUCUAUCUCAGGUUUAAUGAUAUUCUAGAGUUGUUAUUAAUCAAUCAUCAAUUAAACUUUAUAACAUUUCAAGUAAUAAUGAUAACAUCCCAUUUUCAAUGGCUAUAUCAUGUACUCAUAGUGCAAUGAAUAUCCAAUUAAAUAUUUUCAAGAGGUAAUGCAAUUCAUCAUAAGCAACUAUAAAUACAAUAAUCACACAAUGCACAUAAAGAAAGGACAAGAAAUUAAAGAUUAAAAUCAGUAACAGGGCUGUUAAGGUCAGUCCUAGAA
This 523-nucleotide unclassified non-coding RNA is filed under the name Hevea brasiliensis (rubber tree). Lineage: Eukaryota; Viridiplantae; Streptophyta; Magnoliopsida; Malpighiales; Euphorbiaceae. The record is from RNAcentral.